Molecule: ribosomal RNA, 183 nt
Filed under: uncultured bacterium
Lineage: Bacteria
Description: partial 16S ribosomal RNA
Rfam family: Bacterial small subunit ribosomal RNA
Source: RNAcentral
UACAUGAAGCUGGAAUCGCUAGUAAUCGCAAAUCAGAAUGCUGCGGUGAAUACGUUCCCGGGCCUUGUACACACCGCCCGUCACACCAUGGGAGUUGGAAGCACCCGAAGUCGAUGACCUAACCGCGAGGGAGGAGUCGCCAAGGUGAAGCCAGUGACUGGGGUGAAGUCGUAACAAGGUAGC